GUGAUCAUACCAGCACUAAUGCACCGGAUCCCAUCAGAACUCCGCAGU
RNAcentral lists this ribosomal RNA (48 nucleotides) under Chenopodium album (lamb's quarters). The record is from RNAcentral. Lineage: Eukaryota; Viridiplantae; Streptophyta; Magnoliopsida; Caryophyllales; Amaranthaceae.